RNAcentral lists this non-coding RNA (218 nucleotides) under Pan troglodytes (chimpanzee). RNAcentral's name for it is "Eukaryotic large subunit ribosomal RNA". It matches the Rfam family "Eukaryotic large subunit ribosomal RNA", at positions 2131 to 2334 of the family's 3401-position model. Lineage: Eukaryota; Metazoa; Chordata; Mammalia; Primates; Hominidae. The record is from Rfam by way of RNAcentral.
AAUCCGAAUGGCCAUCGACGGGUAAAAGAAUCAACAACAUUCGCGAAGGCCCACGGCGGGUGUUGACGCGAUGUGAUUUCUGCCCACUGCUCUGAAUGUCAAAGUGAAGAAAUUCAAUGAAGCGCGGGUGUAAAACGGCGGAGUGUAACUAUGACUCUCUUAAGUAGCCAAAUGCCUCGUCUCUAAUUAGUGACGCGCAUGAAUGGAUGAACGAGAUU